This 448-nucleotide ribosomal RNA is filed under the name uncultured bacterium. RNAcentral's name for it is "bacterial SSU rRNA". It matches the Rfam family "Bacterial small subunit ribosomal RNA", at positions 330 to 795 of the family's 1533-position model. The record is from RNAcentral.
GCCAGACUCCUACGGGAGGCAGCAGUGGGGAAUAUUGCACAAUGGGGGAAACCCUGAUGCAGCGACGCCGCGUGAAGGACGAAGUAUUUCGGUACGUAAACUUCUAUCAGCAGGGAAGAAAAUGACGGUACCUGACCAAGAAGCCCCGGCUAACUACGUGCCAGCAGCCGCGGUAAUACGUAGGGGGCAAGCGUUAUCCGGAUUUACUGGGUGUAAAGGGAGCGUAGACGGCCAUGCAAGUCUGAUGUGAAAACCCGGGGCUCAACCCCGGGACUGCAUUGGAAACUGUGCGGCUGGAGUGUCGGAGAGGCAAGUGGAAUUCCUAGUGUAGCGGUGAAAUGCGUAGAUAUUAGGAGGAACACCAGUGGCGAAGGCGGCGUGCUGGACGACGACUGACGUUGAGGCUCGAAAGCGUGGGGAGCAAACAGGAUUAGAUACCCGAGUAACA